Molecule: ribosomal RNA, 460 nt
Filed under: uncultured bacterium
Lineage: Bacteria
Description: partial 16S ribosomal RNA
Rfam family: Bacterial small subunit ribosomal RNA
Source: RNAcentral
CCUACGGGAGGCAGCAGUGAGGAAUAUUGGUCAAUGGACGAGAGUUUGAACCAGCCAAGUAGCGUGAAGGAUGACUGCCCUAUGGGUUGUAACCUUCUUUUAUAAAGGAAUAAAACGAGGCACGUGUGCCUUGUUGCAUGUACUUUAUGAAUAAGGAUCGGCUAACUCCGUGCCAGCAGCCGCGGUAAUACGGAGGAUCCGAGCGUUAUCCGGAUUUAUUGGGUUUAAAGGUAGCGUAGAUGGGUUGUUAAGUCAGUUGUGAAAGUUUGCGGAUCAACCGUAAAAUUGCAAUUGAUACUGGCAGUCUUGAGUACAGUUGAGGUAGGCGGAAUUCGUGGUGUAGCGGUGAAAUGCUUAGAUAUCACGAAGAACCCCGAUUGCGAAGGCAGCUUACUAAACUGUGACUGACAUUGAUGCUCGAAAGUGUGGGUAUCAAACAGGAUUAGAUACCCCAGUAGUC